This 574-nucleotide ribosomal RNA is filed under the name uncultured bacterium. RNAcentral describes it as "bacterial SSU rRNA". It matches the Rfam family "Bacterial small subunit ribosomal RNA", at positions 338 to 918 of the family's 1533-position model. The record is from RNAcentral.
CCUACGGGAGGCAGCAGUUAGGAAUCUUCCACAAUGGGCGAAAGCCUGAUGGAGCGACGCCGCGUGAGGGAUGAAGGUUUUCGGAUCGUAAACCUCUGAAUCUGGGACGAAAGACGCGUAAGCGGGAUGACGGUACCAGAGUAAUAGCACCGGCUAACUCCGUGCCAGCAGCCGCGGUAAUACGGAGGGUGCAAGCGUUACCCGGAAUCACUGGGCGUAAAGGGCGUGUAGGCGGUCACGUAAGUCUGGUUUUAAAGACCGGGGCUCAACCCUGGGGAUGGACUGGAUACUGCGUGACUAGACCUCUGGAGAGAGACUCGGAAUUUCUGGUGUAGCGGUGGAAUGCGUAGAUACCAGAAGGAACACCGAUGGCGAAGGCAGAGUCUUGGACAGAAGGUGACGCUGAGGCGCGAAAGUGUGGGGAGCGAACCGGGAUUAGAUACCCGGGGUAGUCCACACCCUAAACGAUGUACGUUGGAUGACAGCAGGAUGCUGUUGUUGUCGAAGUUAACGCGAUAAACGUACCGCCUGGGAAGUACGGCCGCAAGGUUGAAACUUAAANGAAUUGAACGGU